AAGGAAGACAAGGAUGAAAAGAAGAAGGGGGAGGAUGAAGACAAAGGUCCUCCCUGUGGCCCAGUGAACUGCAAUGAAAAGAUUGUGGUCCUUCUGCAGCGCUUGAAGCCUGAGAUCAAGGAUGUCAUUGAGCAGCUCAACCUGGUCACCACCUGGUUGCAGCUGCAGAUACCUCGGAUUGAGGAUGGUAACAAUUUUGGAGUGGCUGUCCAGGUGAGAGCACUGCCCCACUUCCCUGCUUUUUUCUAGUCCAUGCUUCCUUCCACUUUCCCCCUUGCUUUUUUUCCCUAGGAGAAGGUGUUUGAGCUGAUGACCAGCCUCCACACCAAGCUAGAAGGCUUCCACACUCAAAUCUCUAAGUGAGUGACCACCCAUGUGCACACUGUUUUUGUUUUGGGAGACCUCCUUCUUCUACUCCAUACACACUUCUCCUUCCACAGGUAUUUCUCUGAGCGUGGUGAUGCAGUGACUAAAGCAGCCAAGCAGCCCCAUGUGGUAGGUGAGGCCCAGGUCAGGGUGCAUGGGGGAAGGACACAUGUAAGGUCAGGCCUGACCCGAGCUUCCCACAGGGUGAUUAUCGGCAGCUGGUGCACGAGCUGGAUGAGGCAGAGUACCGGGACAUCCGGCUGAUGGUCAUGGAGAUCCGCAAUGCUUAUGUGAGGAGGCGAGGGCAGGGCAGGGGUGGGCAGAGGCAGCUUUCCCAGGCCACCCACUCCCUGACCCUGCAGGCUAGGGGUUAAGGGUGACAAAGCUCAGCUUCUCCACAAGGCUAGAAAUGGGGCACAGAGCCACUGGAGGCCUCUGACUGACCUCUACUCCCUGGCCCUGUAGGCUGUGUUAUAUGACAUCAUCCUGAAGAACUUCGAGAAGCUCAAGAAGCCCAGGGGAGAAACAAAGGGAAUGAUCUAUUGAGAGCCCUCUCUCCCAUUCUGUGAUGAGUACAGCAGAGACCUUCCUGCUUUUUACUGGGGACUCCAGAUUUUCCCCAAACUUGCUUCUG
RNAcentral lists this small RNA (1000 nucleotides) under Pan troglodytes (chimpanzee). RNAcentral's name for it is "retained intron". Lineage: Eukaryota; Metazoa; Chordata; Mammalia; Primates; Hominidae. The record is from RNAcentral.